AACCGGGGGAACUGAAACAUCUAAGUACCCCGAGGAAAAGAAAUCAACCGAGAUUCCGAAAGUAGCGGCGAGCGAAAUUGGACUAGCCCUUAAGCUUUACACGCGUUAGACGAACGGUCUGGAAAGUCCGACGAUACAGGGUGAUAGUCCCGUAGUUGACGACGUGUGUUCAGUGAAAUCGAGUAGGGCGGGACACGUGAUAUCCUGUCUGAAUAUGGGGGGACCAUCCUCCAAGGCUAAAUACUACUGACUGACCGAUAGUGAACCAGUACCGUGAGGGAAAGGCGAAAAGAACCCCUGUGAGGGGAGUGAAAUAGAACCUGAAACCGUGUACGUACAAGCAGUAGGAGCAGGCUUUGUCCUGUGACUGCGUACCUUUUGUAUAAUGGGUCAGCGACUUAUAUUCAGUGGCAAGGUUAACCAUCUAGGGGAGCCGUAGGGAAACCGAGUCUUAACUGGGCGUUCAGUCUCUGGAUAUAGACCCGAAACCAGGUGAUCUAGCCAUGGGCAGGUUGAAGGUUGAGUAACAUCAACUGGAGGACCGAACCGACUAAUGUUGAAAAAUUAGCGGAUGACUUGUGGCUAGGGGUGAAAGGCCAAUCAAACCUGGAGAUAGCUGGUUCUCCCCGAAAGCUAUUUAGGUAGCGCCUCGGACGAAUACUACUGGGGGUAGAGCACUGUUAAGGCUAGGGGGUCAUCCCGACUUACCAACCCUUUGCAAACUCCGAAUACCAGUAAGUACUAUCCGGGAGACACACGGCGGGUGCUAACGUCCGUCGUGGAGAGGGAAACAACCCAGACCGCCAGCUAAGGUCCCAAAUUACUACUAAGUGGGAAACGAUGUGGGAAGGCUCAGACAGCCAGGAUGUUGGCUUAGAAGCAGCCAUCAUUUAAAGAAAGCGUAAUAGCUCACUGGUCGAGUCGGCCUGCGCGGAAGAUGUAACGGGGCUAAGUAGUAAACCGAAGCUGCGGCAAUGUGCUUUUGCACAUUGGGUAGGGGAGCGUUCUGUAAGCGGUUGAAGGUGUGUGGUAACGCAUGCUGGACGUAUCAGAAGUGCGAAUGCUGACAUGAGUAACGAUAAAGGGGGUGAAAAACCUCCUCGCCGGAAGACCAAGGGUUCCUGUCCAACGUUAAUCGGGGCAGGGUAAGUCGACCCCUAAGGCGAGGCCGAAAGGCGUAGUCGAUGGGAAACGGGUUAAUAUUCCCGUACUUCUUACAAUUGCGAUGGGGGGACGGAGAAGGCUAGGUGGGCCUGGCGACGGUUGUCCAGGUUCAAGUGCGUAGGCUUAAGAGUUAGGUAAAUCCGGCUCUUUUUAAGGCUGAGACACGACGUCGAGCAUCUACGGAUGUGAAGUCAUUGAUGCCAUGCUUCCAGGAAAAGCCUCUAAGCUUCAGAUUGUAAGGAAUCGUACCCCAAACCGACACAGGUGGUCGGGUAGAGAAUACCAAGGCGCUUGAGAGAACUCGGGUGAAGGAACUAGGCAAAAUGGUACCGUAACUUCGGGAGAAGGUACGCUCUCGACGGUGAAGUCCCUCGCGGAUGGAGCUAUUGAGAGUCGCAGAUACCAGGUGGCUGCAACUGUUUAUUAAAAACACAGCACUGUGCAAAAUCGUAAGAUGACGUAUACGGUGUGACGCCUGCCCGGUGCCGGAAGGUUAAUUGAUGGGGUUAGACUUCGGUCGAAGCUCUUGAUCGAAGCCCCGGUAAACGGCGGCCGUAACUAUAACGGUCCUAAGGUAGCGAAAUUCCUUGUCGGGUAAGUUCCGACCUGCACGAAUGGCGUAAUGAUGGCCACGCUGUCUCCACCCGAGACUCAGUGAAAUUGAAAUCGCUGUGAAGAUGCAGUGUACCCGCGGCUAGACGGAAAGACCCCGUGAACCUUUACUACAACUUGGCACUGAACAUUGACCCUACAUGUGUAGGAUAGGUGGGAGGCUUUGAAGCACGUACGCCAGUAUGUGUGGAGCCGUCCUUGAAAUACCACCCUUGUAGUGUUGAUGUUCUAACGUCGACCCCUUAUCGGGGUUGCGGACAGUGCCUGGUGGGUAGUUUGACUGGGGCGGUCUCCUCCCAAAGAGUAACGGAGGAGCACGAAGGUGGGCUAAUCACGGUUGGACAUCGUGAGGUUAGUGCAAUGGCAUAAGCCCGCUUGACUGCGAGAAUGACAAUUCGAGCAGGUGCGAAAGCAGGUCAUAGUGAUCCGGUGGUUCUGAAUGGAAGGGCCAUCGCUCAACGGAUAAAAGGUACUCCGGGGAUAACAGGCUGAUACCGCCCAAGAGUUCAUAUCGACGGCGGUGUUUGGCACCUCGAUGUCGGCUCAUCACAUCCUGGGGCUGAAGUCGGUCCCAAGGGUAUGGCUGUUCGCCAUUUAAAGUGGUACGCGAGCUGGGUUUAGAACGUCGUGAGACAGUUCGGUCCCUAUCUGCCGUGGGCGUUGGAAGAUUGAAGGGGGCGUGCUCCUAGUACGAGAGGACCGGAGUGGACGAACCUCUGGUGUUCGGGUUGUGUCGCCAGACGCAUUGCCCGGUAGCUAAGUUCGGAAUCGAUAACCGCUGAAAGCAUCUAAGCGGGAAGCGAGCCCUGAGAUGAGUCUUCCCUGAUACUUUAAGUAUCCUAAAGGGUUGUCGGAGACUACGACGUUGAUAGGUCAGGUGUGUAAGUGCUGUGAGGCAUUGAGCUAACUGAUACUAAUUGCCCGUGAGGCUUAACCAUACAACACCUAAGGGGUUU
RNAcentral lists this ribosomal RNA (2732 nucleotides) under Vibrio parahaemolyticus. Its description in RNAcentral is "bacterial LSU rRNA". It matches the Rfam family "Bacterial large subunit ribosomal RNA". Lineage: Bacteria; Pseudomonadati; Pseudomonadota; Gammaproteobacteria; Vibrionales; Vibrionaceae. The record is from RNAcentral.